GUGGGGAAUAUUGGACAAUGGGGGCAACCCUGAUCCAGCCAUGCCGCGUGUGUGAAGAAGGCCUUUUGGUUGUAAAGCACUUUAAGCAGUGAAGAAGACUCCAUGGUUAAUACCCAUGGACGAUGACAUUAGCUGCAGAAUAAGCACCGGCUAACUCUGUGCCAGCAGCCGCGGUAAUACAGAGGGUGCAAGCGUUAAUCGGAAUUACUGGGCGUAAAGCGAGCGUAGGUGGCUUGAUAAGUCAGAUGUGAAAGCCCCGGGCUUAACCUGGGAACGGCAUCUGAUACUGUUAGGCUAGAGUAGGUGAGAGGAAGGUAGAAUUCCAGGUGUAGCGGUGAAAUGCGUAGAGAUCUGGAGGAAUACCGAUGGCGAAGGCAGCCUUCUGGCAUCAUACUGACACUGAGGUUCGAAAGCGUGGGUAGCAAACAGGAUUAGAAACCCCGGUAGUCC
RNAcentral lists this ribosomal RNA (450 nucleotides) under uncultured bacterium. Its description in RNAcentral is "bacterial SSU rRNA". It matches the Rfam family "Bacterial small subunit ribosomal RNA", at positions 354 to 796 of the family's 1533-position model. The record is from RNAcentral.